Molecule: unclassified non-coding RNA, 938 nt
Filed under: Bradyrhizobium sp.
Lineage: Bacteria; Pseudomonadati; Pseudomonadota; Alphaproteobacteria; Hyphomicrobiales; Nitrobacteraceae
Description: partial contains 16S ribosomal RNA, 16S-23S ribosomal RNA intergenic spacer, and 23S ribosomal RNA
Rfam family: Bacterial large subunit ribosomal RNA (bases 765-938)
Source: RNAcentral
CUUGCUUCUAUCGAACCGUUUUAGAAACAUCAGUGGCCAACGAUCGUCAGGAUUGUUGAGCUGCAUUGGCGGGAUUUCGCCGUCUUCGUUUCUCUUUCUUCGCGGACGAACACGCGCUGGGGCUGCAAGCUUGCAGAAUCCCUGGUCCUUGACUGGAUAUGCGUUAGGGGCUUGUAGCUCAGUUGGUUAGAGCGCGCGCUUGAUAAGCGUGAGGUCGGAAGUUCAAGUCUUCCCAGGCCCACCACACUCAUCGAGUGAGCAUUCGUCUUCUGGUUACGGGGCCAUAGCUCAGCUGGGAGAGCGCGUGCUUUGCAAGCAUGAGGUCGUCGGUUCGAUCCCGUCUGGCUCCACCAGAUGGUUUGAUCAUCGACUGAUCGUGCACCUAAAUCGUCCGCGAAACAUCACUUCGCACUUACUAGUCCGGAUGGACAGUAAGCUGCGUGAUUUCUGACAUCGUAAAGAGGAGAUCGAUCCGAGUUGGAUCGGGCAACAAGCAAUUGUUGCGCGAUACUUCAUUAUCUCCGGAUCAUUUCGGCGCUCGUGCGCCUUUCAAUGUAGCUCACAAGGCUGCGUCUGAGAGGAAUGCGAGUUGUAAAUGAUCCUUUUAGCGAAGCUUGACCGCCUCGCUAUCGGAACGAUCUUACGAAGCAAGCUGGUCUUUCUAAUCAUUGUCCGGCUGCAGAUAGCGUUCAUCGAGGGCGCGUGCCGCAAGGUAAUUCUGCAGACAACAUUCUGCCGAGUGUGUGGACAUUGAUAAUGAGAGCAAUCAAGUGCCUUAAGGGUGUUCGGUGGAUGCCUUGGCGCUGAGAGGCGAUGAAGGACGUGCUACGCUGCGAUAAGCCGUGGGGAGCUGCGAAGAAGCUUUGAUCCAUGGAUUUCCGAAUGGGGAAACCCACCUUCGAUAGCCGGAACUCCAAGACCUUUGUCGAAAGACAUUG